This is an RNA transcript of Eurytemora carolleeae, 8020 nucleotides long. RefSeq lists it as uncharacterized. The record is from RefSeq and is a predicted model, not a curated record. NCBI's taxonomy places the organism in Eukaryota, Metazoa, Arthropoda, Copepoda, Calanoida, Temoridae. The transcript has 6 exons.
UGACAAAAUUUAAAUUAUCACGUAUCUCGAUUUUAUUUUAAUUGAGAAGAGGAAAAAGAGGGGAGGAUUUUUGUUUUCAUAUAUGAAAUGCUAAAUGACACUAUUUGCGUGUACAUUUCGUAUGAUACGCUAGUUAUGCUUUUCAGGAGUAUUAUGGAUUAGGGACCAUUUAUUGGCUAUUCCUGAUGAACUUAAAAAAGUGAAGGAUGAGUCGAAGAGAGAGAAAUAGGGAAGAAAGUCCUUUCCGACGCUAUGAAACUAUCGGGCCGGAAUUAUCAAUAUGUGAUCCUUCUCCGGUAUCUGAAGAACGUUACGGCAGAAAUUCUGCUGGUUUUAUCCCGAAUGCUCCCAGAAUUUCUUCAUUCUCUGUUAAUGAGCGAAUAGUUCGGACAGAGAGACAUGGACAGUUGAGUCCUUUAUCUAACAGAUAUCAAAUUGAUCAAUCAGAGCCAGACGAUGAAUUUUCUUACCGUUUACAUUACAAGAGAUCUGAAGAAGGGUAUGUUAGAAGUGUGAUACAAAGAUCUGAGUAUAGAAGAGAUAUCUACCAUGAACCUUCUCGGGAUGGAGAAAUUUAUCUUGAAUCUGUUUCAACAAGGGAGAUAUACCGAGAGUCCAGGGACAGGGAAAGGAUCCACAAAGAUUUUAGUCCAACUUGUUCUAAAAGAAAACAUGUUGAGGAAGAGAGUCCUAGUAUAAGUAUAAAGCAAAGCUCGAGUAGACGUCGAUAUCCCAGUCCUGGUGGUAUACUAAAUUGUCCCACAAGAAAUUUAUCCCCCAAUUCUGCGUCUUUUAGGGGCGAUUUCCGUGAUAAAAGUCCAAUUAGAAGCAUUAAGCACAGAUCCAGCUCAAGUAGACACCGAUAUCAAAGUCCUGUUGAUGGGAAUAAUGAUUUUAGUCCUAAUAUAUCCUCAUACUCUGGAUCAAAUAGAGAUGAUUUUCAAGAAGAGAGUCCUAGUAGAAAAAUUAGACAUCGAUCCAGUUCCAGUAGUCUUAGAUAUCUCAGUCCUGGUGAAAAAAGCAAUCAUUUAAGUCCAAGAAGAGAACUAUCCGUAAAUUCUGAAUUUAUCAGAGAUGAUUUUCAUGAUGAGAGUUCCAGUAGAAGAAAUAUGGAAAGAUCUAUCUCUAGCCGACAUCGUUAUGCCAGUCCUGGGUACUUGAACCAAGAUUUUAGUCUUACAAGGACAACAUCCUUACAUUCAAGAGACAAUAGUGAUGUCCUUUAUGGAGAGGAUCUUUGUGAUGAUAGUCCCGAAAGAAGUAUCGAUCAUAGAUCCAAUUCGAGUAGUUGGCAAUAUCCUAACCCUGAUUCAAGUCCCUCAAGAAACAUGUCCCCAUUUUUAAGGUCUAGCAGAAAAGAUUUUCAUGCUGACAGUUCAAGCAUAAGUACAGUACCCAGCCAUAGAAGACAAGGUGGGAAUAUAUCCCAGUUUCCAAGCUCAAAAAGAGGUGAUUUUAAUGUGGAGAGUUCCAGAUCUAUACCUCCUAAACCUGAUCACAAUCGUCAAUCCAAUCAUAGAGAAAGAAUAUUUCCUGGAUCACCCAGUAGGGAUAAUUACAAUUCACAUAGGCUAAAUGAGGAAGACCAUCCAAAUAAGAGUAUGGAUUUGUGCCAUCAAUACAGCAAUUAUGAAGUCCUAGAGCCUGUUCCUGUCAUGAGGUCAACCCGGCCAUCUUGUUUUAACAAAGAUGGCCACCUAGACAGUGGCUACAGCAUUUCAAGAUUAAAUGAUGAUAUUCAACCAAAUACUAUUUCCUGUAGAGAUUUUAACUAUGGAUCUCAUUCAAGUUUAGACAUUGAUCUUGAUACUCAUUCCUCUAGGGACAUCUAUCAAGAAGACUCCAGUUCUAGUAGGAGUAUACACCAUGAAUCCAGAUACAGGGAACAUCCUUAUUCUUGUCGCUCCUCUAGUAAAGAGAGUUUACAUCUAUCCAGUAAUGCUGAAGAAGAUCACUCAUCUAGCAGAAAUACAAUGCAAUCCAAUCAUGGCAAGAUUCCUGUUGUAUCCAACCAUCAUCUCGGGUCCUCCUCUCAUUCUGCCAGAGAUAGUAUGGCUGGAAAUUGGAAAAGCUCAAGAUAUCUAACAAAUAGAAGUCCAGAUAUUUCCCAGUCAACCAGGCUUAAGUAUGAAAACAAGAGGCAUGAACAAUAUUUAUCAAAUGAUGAUCUUAGUUAUGAACACCUCACACAAUUAAGAAAUAGGAGUCCAAUUGAAAUUACAAGAUCUGAUAAAGAUGUUUCUACAAAACAAUCCAGGAAAAGAAUUAAGAGUGCAAGUCCUACAACCAUUGAAAGAAAAAGAAGAAGUUUACAGAAAACCAAUACUUCACACUAUAAAGACUCACAUUCGGUUAUUGAAAAGAAUUAUAACAGACAUUUUAUUGGCUCAAAGCAUAAAUCUAGACAAACAAGUGCUGGAGCCUUUAAUAAGGAAGAAGGUUCAUGCUACAAAUCAUCUGGCAAACCUGACAAAAUAUUAGAAUUUGAAUACCCUACCAAAUUAUAUGAAAUUAAAGGUAAAAUUGUACUGAUAAUUGAUAAACUGAAGUGUGGAGUUCUUAAUCUUGAGGGAGGGGAUGGAAGGAAAGCCUAUUGCUUGUUUUUCUUCAAGGAUGUGCAUUUUAAAGAGCAACUUUGCUCUCUUGCAUUCAAGAGAUUAGUAGCUGGGAAAACUUUUUGUGUUAAUGCCCGUCUUAUGACUACUAGUGAACAAAUUCCCUAUGCUGCUACCAAUGUUUGGGAGGAAGGGUUUGAUGUACCUGAUACUUUUAAAUCUAAAAUAUUAGCCGAUUUGGAUGAAGUUGAAGUUGAGGCUUACUACAGGUUAACCAACCAAGUAUCAUUAAAGUUAUUGAAACAGUUGUCUGUAAAGGAGGACAAAAGAAAAUCAGAGGUUCAGACAAUAGUUCUAUCUGAUGAUGAAGAACUAGAUCUAGAUUCAAAAAAUCCCACAAGAAAGGAUAAUGAUUCCUCUUCUUCUGUAGAAUGUUUGAAAAUUAAUGUUAUGAAUACAAAGAUGAAGAAAAAACAUAAAAUCAAAGAAUCAAAAAAACAUUCAAGGGACUUGAACAUCAACAAGGAUGUCAUUGAAGGAAUUAUAUUGUCCUAUUCUCAGGAUAACAAUGGACUUGUUUUUUUAAAGAGCAAGAAGGAUGUAGACUCAGGUUAUGCAUAUUUUCAUUUAAAUCAAGUUUGGGUCUGGCACAUUAACAAAUUUAAACUACUGAGAGAAAUUUUUCCAACUAAGUCUCUGAAGAUUGACUUCCCUGAAAGUUGCCAAGUUCAAUGCAUUGUACGGAGAAUUAUUGGAUAUGAUGAACAGUUUCAGGUUAUUGCUUUGUGGAAAGAUGGAAGUGGUAUUCCAGGAAUUCAAAGUUAUCCUCCUUUAAAAGAUGAGCUUCACUUCCAGUUGAAAUCUCUUAAAAAUCCCAAGAAGAAUAAACUUGGCAUCUCUUUGCUGAAAUCUCUGAAGGAGGUAACGGGAAGUGUCAAAGAAUAUUUCAGUGAUGAGGUUGGUUUCAUAAGACUAAAAAACAGUAAUGAAGUUGUACUCUUUCAUCUUAAUGAGAUUUGGGUCAAGAAAGAAGGUUGGGAAUUAUUCAAAGACAAGCAGACUCAAAUGUUGCAAACCUCUCUUCCUGUGGGUAGCCAGGUUACCUUCACAGCAAGGCAAAUUCCUUUUAGUAGACCAUCUCAGCUUAGAUAUCAAGCAAUAGCUGCCUGGCCAUCAACUACUGAUUCAAAUGGAGCUCUCAAGAGUUUUCAGGAAAAAUUUAAAUCAAACAAACAGAAGAACAAAUUACUCAUGUCCUUGGAGAACCAAUACAACAGUUUCAAAACAUUGGCUAGGUUAGACCUAAAUCCUGGUGAGAAAGAUUUUCCAUUUGUUUCUGUUUUAAUAAAUGGUCUCCCACAGAAAUGGACAGCCACUGUUGACAAACAAGUUAAUUCAACUAUCGGUAUUAUCAAAGUUAAGUUACCUUCUUCAUUCAGAAUAAAUGAACUUUAUGCAUUAUUUGAUAUACAAGAUGUAUAUGAUGAUCAUGGUAAUACCAUAUCAGAGCAACAGUCACUUAAAUCUCUUGUGAACUGUGAAGUCAACCUGAUAGCUAGAUCUAUUUGUAAUGGUUUAUUUACUGAAACUGUUGACAAUAUUUCAAUGGAUAUGAGAAAAGUUGGCAAAUGGCAUAGAAAGCCUUUGCUGCAAGCCAUUGUAGUCUGCCUGAAGAACAAACAUGAAAACAAGCCGCCUAAGAGUGUUCCUCAACCAACAUCACUUCAUUCAAGCGUUAAGUCUUUUUCUACAAACAAUGAUGGAUUAUCUUAUUGCUACAUGAACUACACACUCAAAUGCCAUCUGGACAGGAAGCUUCAGAAGUAUCUUGAUUUGACAAAGCUAAUGAAUAGAUACUGUGAAUCAGUAAAUUGCUUAUGGAAUUCAGUCAACAUUUGUGAAGAGGAGAAAAAAAUUACUGGUCUUCUACUUGUUGACACUAAUCUUUCCAGCCGAAUUAUUUAUGGACAUCUUGAUGAAAACAUACUGCUGAAGUCCAAAAGCUCCAGUUCACUCCCCACAUUAAUGAAAUCAGUCUAUUGCAAGCCAACUUCGUUGCAUAGGGAAGGGUUAAUUGCUAAAAGUGGUGUUGUUCAAUUCAUAAUGCCUGGAACAUUUGUCAAAUGUUUCGCAUAUUUUGAUCUAUCUUGUCUUGAAGGUUUUGGUGAAGUAGGAAAUGUGGAACAUGAUCUUGCAGAUUUCAUUCCUGUUAACUCCAGAGAUUUGUUUAGAGGACAUUUUGUCCUUUGGAAUCAUGAACAUAGAGUUCCCUAUAUUACCACCAAGCUAUGGAAUGAAAAUAUUAGACUUGAUAAACAUCACAACAUUCCAAUUGCUUCAGGAAUGCAUCCUGAAUCAGAAAAGAUUGAAAAGCUUGAACAGCUUCUGUCUUUUAAUUCAGACAAAAUAUCAUUAGUGGAAAGAGUAAUCACAAGCAAGAAAGCUGAGGAUAAACAUGAAAACAUAAUGAAAAUAGACUGCCCCACUGUAAGCAAUGUUACUCUUCCCAGAAUCAUUGAAUCAACAGACUUGAAUGGGAGAUUGGUAGAACUAGAAAGUAGGGAUAAAGAUCAGACCAACUCAAAUAGUGUUGUUCCUGAAAGAAGGAGUAUUUCCAAUCAGGACAAAGUAUGUAUUGACAAGAGUUUGGAUCUAAUUAAGAAUUCCUCAGCAAAGUCAAAAACCAUUAAUGUGAACUAUGCUGAAACAGAUGGGGUAAAAUCUAAAACUAAUGUUACUGUUGUGACUAAUAUCAGCAACCAAGGAACUGGAAUAGAAAUCAAAGAAGAGAAAGCCUCCAGUGUUCGAAACCAGAAGACUCUCUAUUUAGAGAAGGAUUUAGAAUCCAACAAAGGAACUGAUUCUAUUAUGCAAAACAUUAAAGGACAAGUUGUCAAAGUUUUAGAUGAUAACUAUGCUGUUGCUGUUGUUAAAAAUCCUAAAAAGAAAGCAUCAGACACACAUUUGGUUGUUUUUGAUGUAUGUGACCUCUGCUCAGAUGAAAAUUCAUCCAGAAGUACGAAUUUCAAAUUGAGCAGCAUUGUUCGACAGGGAAGUUUUGUAAAGCUUAAUGCUAUUCAAGUUUUUGAUAAUAAGGAUCAACCAUAUUUAGCAAGUGCUGUCAUAGUGGGUGACAGUUGGGAUGAUUUGGAUUCCAAGGAAAUUCCUGAGAGUGCUGCUAGAAUAAGUUCUCUUAAAACUGUUGACCAGGAAAAGAUAUGCAACUUCAGAAUUGUUGCAAGAAUAGUGCAAAACCAUACAUUCUCUGAAACUGAGAUAAGUAUUGUGGAGAAGAUAACCUCUCUUUUUUCAAGGACUAAGGAGCUGAAAGAUAAAUUACAAGCAAACCUCACUAAUAUUGAAGUAGGUCUAAAAAUUGAGGAGGAAAACCAGUCUGUCAAUUUUACCACAGAUCUGCCUGAUCAUGUAGCAAACAAGACAGGGGUUGUGUUAUUUAAGUCAGAUGCAAUGGCUUUGAUAAAGUUUGAAAUGAAAUCAAGUGAAGCCACUCUGAAUUGUUUUGCAUUUCUCUCCUUUGAUUUGAUUAGUUCUGAAGAUAGUACAAUAAACCUUUCUAUUGGCUAUCCUGUUGCUUUUCAUGCAAUAGCUUUAACAAGCAGUCUACAUCAUGUUUUUGUUGCAACCAUGGCAUAUUCUGAUGGAUCUCAACUGAUGAAACAGAAAUUCAUGGCUGAAGUUCAAAAUGAUGACUGGGUUAAGAAAGCAAGGGAAACUGCAGAUUUCACUUCAAGGAAACUGGUUGUGCAGGAGUUCAUAAAUAAAGUAGAUUUGUCAAAGUUCUGGAAACCAUGCUCACUGAAGAAGUUUCUAGUUGAAAUUGUGAAGUGCACAACAGAUGUAGAGUCAAAUCAGCAUGUUAUCAUUCUGAAGAUGGAACAUUUAGGAGUCUCUGGUAAUGCACUGUAUAUCACUCAGUCCAAAGGAGAGUUAAAAGAAAAACAGAAAGUCUUCAUGAAUGCUCUUCUGUUAGCUGAAAAUACAAAUUUUGACUACCUUGCUACUGCUGUGUGGACUGACGAAGAAUUGGAAGUUCCUAUUGUUGAAUAUGGAUACAUAUCUUAUAAUGAUGUCAAAGUAUUUCAUGGGACCGUAAAUCAUGCUGAAGAAAUCCUCUUCCUUACAGUGCUCAUAGCUGAUGCAAGAGCAAGUAAACACUUUCGACUUCUUGAAAUUUUGGGAAAGCAAACUUUUUCAAAAUUAAUAUCUCUUAUAGUGGCAUACGAAGAAGAAAUAUUGAAAUUAAUAGAAGUUGAAGACUUUGGUGAAAUGAGACAUGUGAAGGCACCUUUCUCAUUAAAUCAAAUAAUAACCAGGGCUCACUCCAGCCUUUCUGAAGAAGAGAUUCUAGAGCUACUAAUACUUAUAAACAGAUGUUAUACAAAAUAUGGAGCCACAGGAUGUCUCCAAAUGCUACCAAAAUCUACUCUUGAAAACAUUAAGGAAGAAGGUAUACAAGCUGUUUCAGAUGCUUUGCCUAAGUUGAAAAGAGAUGGAAUGUUAUGGGAGAUUCCAAAAGAAUGGAAUGACCAAGCAACUACUAUGGCUUGGGAGGACAUAGCAAGACCUCCUGUUGAUGAUAUUCCUGAAACAUGGAGCAUGGAUCUAGACAGCAAGCUUCUUAUUGGUGCAUCUCAUCAUGGUUUGCUUGACUUUGGGAUGACUGAACAUGAUGAUCUCUGGAGGGAACUGGGGGAUGAUCCUGAUUUCCCUGAAUUUAGCAAACUGAUAAACUAUGGUGAUUCAAAUACAAAGAAGUUUAUGUGUGAGCGCCUCAAGUACAUAAAAAAACUUGUUAUGUUCCGAGGAAGAUUUCUGGAAAAUAUGGAAAUUAACACCGAGUUUUACUCUUGUGAAAAUGAUGGUCUUAAUGAAGAUUUAACUUCCAGAUCACCUUUGCACAACUUGGAAGAGGAAAAUCUUGAGGAUCAAAUUGAUAACUAUCCCAAGGAUGAAAUUAAACCCAUUUUAACAGACUUGAAUCCUGAGGAACCUCUCUUUGAAGAGUUCUCCAUAGAUGUCAAAGAAGAAACGUAAAGUGGAUGAAUGUGAGUACUUCCUUCUCUCCUCAGAUUUCCUCGGAUAUGGAGAGGUUGACUGUCAACCUUGGAAUACUGUAGAACCUGUAGAUUUGGAUUUACGAAGAGUAUCCACGCAAGCUGAAAGCAAAUUCUGGUAUUUGAGACCAGUAAUUAAUUUAUUUUCUCAUGUUAUUUUGAAAUCCACCUUGUCCAGUCAGAUGAUAAUAUUAAACAAAUGUUCAGAAAAAAACAUAUUUGUAUUUUUUAAACAACUAUUUCUGCAAGUUAGUUUUCAUAAACUAUACAGGCUGUGAAAACAAAUUUUAUUCAAGUUUUCUCUUAAAGAUUCUGCACUUUUUGAUCCUCAAAAAAGUGAAAGUGAUAAAAAUUUGUAAUUUAUAAUUUAUGCAUUUACAUUAAUUCAUA